This 97-nucleotide transfer RNA is filed under the name Obscuribacter phosphatis (SeqCode). RNAcentral describes it as "tRNA-Sec". It matches the Rfam family "Selenocysteine transfer RNA". RNAcentral also lists the same sequence under 2 other names. Lineage: Bacteria; Bacillati; Candidatus Melainabacteria; Candidatus Obscuribacterales; Obscuribacteraceae (SeqCode). The record is from RNAcentral.
GGGGAUGGAGCACUGCUGGUGUGGUGCACGGUCUUCAAAACCGUUGUGGGGCUGGCUGAUCCAGUCCCGGGUGGGUUCGAUUCCCACGCAUCCCCGA